RNAcentral lists this ribosomal RNA (492 nucleotides) under uncultured bacterium. Its description in RNAcentral is "partial 16S ribosomal RNA". It matches the Rfam family "Bacterial small subunit ribosomal RNA", at positions 29 to 507 of the family's 1533-position model. The record is from RNAcentral.
AGUGAACGCUGGCGGUAGGCCUAACACAUGCAAGUCGAACGGCAGCGCAGUAAGAGCUUGCUCUUACGGGUGGCGAGUGGCGGACGGGUGAGGAAUACAUCGGAAUCUACUUUUUCGUGGGGGAUAACGUAGGGAAACUUACGCUCAUACCGCAUACGACCUACGGGUGAAAGCAGGGGAUCUUCGGACCUUGCGCGAUUGAAUGAGCCGCUGCCGGGUUAGCUAGUUGGCGGGGUAAUGGCCCACCAAGGCGACGAUCGGUAGCUGGUCUGAGAGGAUGAUCGGCGACACUGGAACUUGGACACGGUCCAGACUCCUACGGGAGGGAGCAGUGGGGAAUAUUGGACAAUGGGCGCAGGCCUGAUCCAGCCAUAGCGCGUGGGUGAAGAAGGCCUUCGGGUUGUAAAGCCCUUUUUUUGGGAAAGAACAGCAGCAGGUUAUUACCCCGCUGGUCUGACGGUACCCAAAGAAUAAGCACCGGCUAACUACGUG